RNAcentral lists this ribosomal RNA (619 nucleotides) under uncultured bacterium. RNAcentral describes it as "bacterial SSU rRNA". It matches the Rfam family "Bacterial small subunit ribosomal RNA", at positions 194 to 813 of the family's 1533-position model. The record is from RNAcentral.
AAAGAGAUUAAAGAUUUAUCGGUGACGGAUGGGGAUGCGUCUGAUUAGCUUGUUGGCGGGGUAACGGCCCACCAAGGCGACGAUCAGUAGGGGUUCUGAGAGGAAGGUCCCCCACAUUGGAACUGAGACACGGUCCAGACUCCUACGGGAGGCAGCAGUGAGGAAUAUUGGUCAAUGGGCGAGAGCGUGAACCAGCCAAGUAGCGUGCAGGAUGACGGCCCUAUGGGUUGUAAACUGCUUUUAUAAGGGAAUAAAGUGAGUCUCGUGAGACUUUUUGCAUGUACCUUAUGAAUAAGGACCGGCUAAUUCCGUGCCAGCAGCCGCGGUAAUACGGAAGGUCCGGGCGUUAUCCGGAUUUAUUGGGUUUAAAGGGAGCGUAGGCCGGAGAUUAAGCGUGUUGUGAAAUGUAGACGCUCAACGUCUGCACUGCAGCGCGAACUGGUUUCCUUGAGUACGCACAAAGUGGGCGGAAUUCGUGGUGUAGCGGUGAAAUGCUUAGAUAUCACGAAGAACUCCGAUUGCGAAGGCAGCUCACUGGAGCGCAACUGACGCUGAAGCUCGAAAGUGCGGGUAUCGAACAGGAUUAGAUACCCUGGUAGUCCGCACGGUAAACGAUGGA